Molecule: ribosomal RNA, 486 nt
Filed under: uncultured bacterium
Lineage: Bacteria
Description: SSU rRNA
Rfam family: Bacterial small subunit ribosomal RNA
Source: RNAcentral
AGGACGAACGCUGGCGGCGUGCUUAACACAUGCAAGUGGAGCGACGAACCAGGCUUCGGCCUGGGGCAGAGCCGCGAACGGGUGAGUAACACGUGGGUAACCUGCCUCGAUGACCGGGACAACCCGGGGAAACCCGGGCUAAUACCGGAUGUGCUCCUUCACAUCAGUGAAGACAGGAAAGGAAGCUUCGGCCUCCGCAUCGAGAUAGGCCCGCGGCCCAUUAGCUUGUUGGUGAGGUAACGGCUCACCAAGGCUGCGAUGGGUAGCUGGUCUGAGAGGGUGACCGGCCACACUGGGACUGAGACACGGCCCAGACUCCUACGGGAGGCAGCAGUGGGGAAUAUUGGACAAUGGGCGAAAGCCUGAUCCAGCAACGCCGCGUGAGGGAUGACGGCCUUCGGGUUGUAAACCUCUUUCUAGCGCAGACGAAGCGAAAGUGACGGUAUGCGCAGAAGAAGCACCGGCCAACUACGUGCCAGCAGCCGC